Molecule: long non-coding RNA, 361 nt
Filed under: Sinocyclocheilus grahami
Lineage: Eukaryota; Metazoa; Chordata; Actinopteri; Cypriniformes; Cyprinidae
Description: lncRNA (ENSSGRG00000037157.1)
Source: RNAcentral
CUUCCACAGGCCGAUGCUGGAGUGAAAACUUUGUGCUUAGAAAACGGUCGGUCUUUAUAAUUAGGUCAUUAGUGCAAUAACGACUAAGACAAGACGGAAUAUUAUUUUUAUUAUGCUGUGAAACCAGUUCCAUCUUCAGCACUGUAACACUGAUUGCCGGGGCCUGAGGGGUGACGGCAUGGCGGAGGGCAAUGAAAGCGCAGGCGGGGAGUGGAAAGAGAAAUGCAUGGCCCUCGAGGCCCUGCUCUUCAAGUUCCGUGGACAGAUGAGCGUUAUCCGAGAGCUCACGGCAGAAAAGAUGCAGCAGCUGGAGACGCAGGUACUGGAAGCAGAGCGGCGAGCAUAUGAGGCCAGCCAGCCG